CCCUACGGGGUGCAGCAGGCGAAAAGAUUCAAAUGCAGACAGCAGCCAAUGGUAUGCCGUUUAUGAAUAAUUCUGAGCCCCCGUGGGUUCUCGGAAACUGUUUUCUGGAAUCACCUAGGCGUGACAAUCAACGGGCCACAGGUGUGUUAACUGGCGGAGGAGUUGAAAGAAUGCUGAAGAACUUGACCUUGUUUUGUAUUUUCCUGACGAUGGCUCACAUGGCUGGGGCGCAGGAAAGAGUGGCGCGGGAUCACCUCCGGUAUGGCUGGACAUCGAGAUUGGAUGGCAGUCUGGAUGUUGACCGUUGGAUAGCUGCUCGUCAAGAAAUGCGCAUCAAUGCGGUGGAAUUCCACAAUUGGUGGGAAGUGUGCGAGUGCGCUCUACCGUCAGGUUCGACUUGGAAUGAAUUGGCGGGAGGGC
This 420-nucleotide ribosomal RNA is filed under the name uncultured prokaryote. RNAcentral describes it as "partial 16S ribosomal RNA". The record is from RNAcentral.